Molecule: small nuclear RNA, 166 nt
Filed under: Castor canadensis (American beaver)
Lineage: Eukaryota; Metazoa; Chordata; Mammalia; Rodentia; Castoridae
Description: U1 spliceosomal RNA (ENSCCNG00000013495.1)
Rfam family: U1 spliceosomal RNA
About the family: U1 is a small nuclear RNA (snRNA) component of the spliceosome (involved in pre-mRNA splicing). Its 5' end forms complementary base pairs with the 5' splice junction, thus defining the 5' donor site of an intron. There are significant differences in sequence and secondary structure between metazoan and yeast U1 snRNAs, the latter being much longer (568 nucleotides as compared to 164 nucleotides in human).
Source: Rfam by way of RNAcentral
ACACUUACCUGGCAGGGGAACAUACCAUGAUCACAAAGGUGGUUUUCCCAGGGCAAGGCUGAUCCAUUGCACUCCGGAUGUGCUGACCCCUGCAAUUUCCCCAAAUGUGGGAAACUCUACUGCAUAAUUUGUGGUAGUGGGGGACUGGUGUUUGCGCUCUCCCCUG